AUUGAACGCUAGCGGCAUGCCUUACACAUGCAAGUCGAACGGCAGCGGGGGAGCUUGCUCCCGCCGGCGAAUGGCGAACGGGUGAGUAAUACAUCGGAACGUACCCAGUAGCGGGGGAUAGCCCGGCGAAAGCCGGAUUAAUACCGCAUACGCCCUACGGGGGAAAGGGGGGGAUCGCAAGACUCCUCACUAUUUGAACGGCCGAUGGCUGAUUAGCUAGUUGGUGGGGUAAAGGCCUACCAAGGCGACGAUCAGUAGCUGGUCUGAGAGGACGACCAGCCACACUGGGACUGAGACACGGCCCAGACUCCUACGGGAGGCAGCAGUGGGGAAUUUUGGACAAUGGGCGAAAGCCUGAUCCAGCAAUGCCGCGUGUGCGAAGAAGGCCUUCGGGUUGUAAAGCACUUUUGUCAGGGAAGAAAUCGUUUGGGUUAAUACCCCGAGCAGUUGACGGUACCUGAAGAAUAAGCACCGGCUAACUACGUGCCAGCAGCCGCCGUAA
RNAcentral lists this ribosomal RNA (502 nucleotides) under uncultured bacterium. RNAcentral describes it as "partial 16S ribosomal RNA". It matches the Rfam family "Bacterial small subunit ribosomal RNA", at positions 29 to 523 of the family's 1533-position model. The record is from RNAcentral.